CACGUAGUUAGCCGGGGCUUCUUAGUCAGGUACCGUCUUGUCUCGUUCCUGCUGAUAGAGCUUUACAUACCGAAAUACUUCUUCACUCACGCGGCGUCGCUGCAUCAGGGUUUCCCCCAUCGUGCAAUAUUCCCCACUGCUGCCUCCCGUAGGAGUUUGGGCCGUGUCUCAGUCCCAAUGUGGCCGUCCACCCUCUCAGGCCGGCUACUGAUCGUCGCUUUGGUAGGCCGUUACCCUGCCAACUGGCUAAUCAGACGCGGGUCCAUCCCAUACCACCGGAGUUUUUCACACAGGAGCAUGCGCUCCCGUGCGCUUAUGCGGUAUUAGCACCUGUUUCCAGGUGGUACUCCCCCGGUAUCGGGGCUACGGUUACCCGACGUCCGUUACCUCCGACCCCGUCCCGCCACUAACGAUACUCUACUUUCCAAAAGUGACAACG
This 439-nucleotide ribosomal RNA is filed under the name uncultured Lachnospiraceae bacterium. Its description in RNAcentral is "partial 16S ribosomal RNA". Lineage: Bacteria; Bacillati; Bacillota; Clostridia; Lachnospirales; Lachnospiraceae. The record is from RNAcentral.